AUUGAACGCUGGCGGCAUGCCUUACACAUGCAAGUCGAACGGUAACAGGUUAAGCUGACGAGUGGCGAACGGGUGAGUAAUGUAUCGGAACGUGCCCAGUCGUGGGGGAUAACUGCUCGAAAGAAGCAGCUAAUAACCGCAUACGACCUGAGGGUGGAAAGACGGGGGAGUCGCAAGACCUCGCGCGAUUGGAGCGGCCGAUAUCAGAUUAGGUAGUUGUGGGGUAAAGGCCUACCAAGCCUACGAUCUGUAGCUGGUCUGAGAGGACGACCAGCCACACUGGGACUGAGACACGGCCCAGACUCCUACGGGAGGCAGCAGUGGGGAAUAUUGCGCAAUGGGCGAAAAGCCUGACGCAGCGACGCCGCGUGU
RNAcentral lists this ribosomal RNA (372 nucleotides) under uncultured bacterium. RNAcentral describes it as "bacterial SSU rRNA". It matches the Rfam family "Bacterial small subunit ribosomal RNA", at positions 29 to 404 of the family's 1533-position model. The record is from RNAcentral.